RNAcentral lists this ribosomal RNA (468 nucleotides) under uncultured bacterium. RNAcentral describes it as "partial 16S ribosomal RNA". It matches the Rfam family "Bacterial small subunit ribosomal RNA", at positions 28 to 507 of the family's 1533-position model. The record is from RNAcentral.
GACGAACGCUGGCGGCGUGCUUAACACAUGCAAGUCGAACGGAAAGGCCCUGCUUUUGUGGGGUGCUCGAGUGGCGAACGGGUGAGUAACACGUGAGUAACCUGCCCUUGACUUUGGGAUAACUUCAGGAAACUGGGGCUAAUACCGGAUAGGAGCUCCUGCUGCAUGGUGGGGGUUGGAAAGUUUCGGCGGUUGGGGAUGGACUCGCGGCUUAUCAGCUUGUUGGUGGGGUAGUGGCUUACCAAGGCUUUGACGGGUAGCCGGCCUGAGAGGGUGACCGGCCACAUUGGGACUGAGAUACGGCGCAGACUCCUACGGGAGGCAGCAGGGGGGAAUAUUGCACAAUGGGCGGAAGCCUGAUGCAGCAACGCCGCGGGCGGGAUGACGGCCUUCGGGUUGUAAACCGCUUUCGCCUGUGACGAAGCGUGAGUGACGGUAAUGGGUAAAGAAGCACCGGCUAACUACGUG